This 385-nucleotide transfer-messenger RNA is filed under the name Dubosiella newyorkensis. RNAcentral's name for it is "Standard tmRNA". It matches the Rfam family "transfer-messenger RNA". Rfam says of the family: Bacterial tmRNA, also known as 10Sa RNA or SsrA, is named for its dual tRNA and mRNA-like properties. Its role is to liberate the mRNA from a stalled ribosome. The record is from Rfam by way of RNAcentral. Lineage: Bacteria; Bacillati; Bacillota; Erysipelotrichia; Erysipelotrichales; Erysipelotrichaceae.
GGGGAUGUUUUUGGCAUUCGAUAGGUAAUCGUUUGGGAUAGACUACAGCCGUGAAGGAACACGUAAAAACCAUUAAAAUUUAAACGCUAAAACUAAAUUUGCUAACUUGUUUGGUGCUAACCGCCCAGCAAUGGCAUUUGCUGCCUAAUUAGACUACGUUUGUCUUGCAGCCCGAAUUUGUGAGUUCGCUUUCUUAUAACAAAUUUGAGAAUGGCAAAGAAGAUCGGAACAAGAGUGGAUCGGUUCCCUGUUCUUAAACACGUUGAUCAAACCCAUAAAGUAUAUUGUCCAUCAUAGCUUUAUGGUUUCUUAGAUGGAAUAAGCUGUAAACGUUUAUUCGUGGGACGUUAUCUAGACAGGAGUUCGAGUCUCCUCAUCUCCACCA